This 389-nucleotide long non-coding RNA is filed under the name Vigna radiata. RNAcentral describes it as "long non-coding RNA (VRAD_LNC001392)". Lineage: Eukaryota; Viridiplantae; Streptophyta; Magnoliopsida; Fabales; Fabaceae. The record is from RNAcentral.
UUAUUGAUGUCGACUUCGAGGAGAAGUGAAGCUACCAUCAAUCCAUUUGGCUCUGUUAAACGUAGUAUUCUUUCUUUCUGUGUUAGCACCUUUCUCUACAAUUCUACUUUGUUGUUCUUACAUACCAAGUUAGUUCACAUUUAUGCACCUGUAAAUUCUUUUAUCUUCAUGUUAUGAGUACAAGAAAUGGGAUACCAAACAAAAGGAAACGGGAAACGAAAAGAAUAAAAGAAACACUUUCUUGGGGAACUAUACCUUCUCGUUAUCUCUGCAGAAAACAGUAUUUGGUUAGGUAAGCUAGGUAGAAUCAUUUUUGCGUCAAACUCUUAGGAUUAGCGAUCGUCACUCACUUCAUAGAUGAAAGCGUAAAUCAGUUGGACCUGGUGCAC